AAAACGACUAUGAAAGGACGAGUAGUAGUAGGACGUAGUUUAAGCGAGUCAGGGGUGGUGUGAGCCUGAUACGAAGCCUAUUAUGAAGAACCUCCUGGAGUUGCUAACCGAAAUCCUUUAUAGGAAAGUAGACUUAGCCGGGAACUUCGCCGUUACAAGAAGAACAGUAUCGAGAUAUUUUAUCUCCGUACUGUAUAAGUGAGCAACCUCUGUUGCUAAUUUGGGUGGUACCGCGGAACCAAAGCCUUUCGUCCCAGUU
Bacillus thuringiensis serovar israelensis ATCC 35646 is the source of this 259-nucleotide non-coding RNA. The record is from Rfam. Lineage: Bacteria; Bacillati; Bacillota; Bacilli; Caryophanales; Bacillaceae.